Long non-coding RNA from Oreochromis aureus, 1286 nucleotides. NCBI's taxonomy places the organism in Eukaryota, Metazoa, Chordata, Actinopteri, Cichliformes, Cichlidae. The record is from Ensembl.
CCCCAGAGAAUAGUUCACACUCCCUUGCUUCCUCUUACAGUGGAGAAGACAAAAGAUUAACUCUUCCUGUGUGAACGCCUGCUUCCAACUUCCUGAGAUACCUUAUGUUAGCGGCAUGAAUGUGUGAGACAUUGAGGCAUGCUAAAAUCCCGUGGCACCAAAGUAUUGUACAAUAAAAUAAUCUGAAUAAUACAUAAAUAUAAAUAAAAGAUAUUCCUUUACACAGUAUAGGUACAUAAUACUCCACAGGCCGUAACACUGUAAUAUAAAUAAAAUGAUAAAUGAUCACUUUAAAUGAUAAAAAUGAUAAUCACAUAAUAAGAAAAAGCAAAGUGAAAAAUAAAUGUUAUCCACAUUAACUAAAUUAAAAAUGAUGUUUAUCUUUUGAUAAUGUAACACAGCCUUUGUCCCAACCAGGACUGAACCUGCGCUCAGACGGUGCGAUUUGAUUGGCUGAUUCUCCGUUACACCCAUACGCGAUGGGCCCUUAUCAGAUGAAAGUACAAAACUAUCAAGAACCCCCCUCCUUGCACUGGUUGCAUAAAUUUCAGGUGGCAUUUUUAAAAACAUGCCAUGACAUAACACACAGCUGCUAUAAUCGCAAAGAGGGGUCAAAUGUCAAUUAUCGUUAUAGGUUCUUGCUAUAUGUUAUGUCGUAAGGGCCUAAGUUCCCUUACGACAGCUAGAGCUGGAAACAAGACCUCAAGCAAUCCUAAGGCUAAUUAGCACGGCUAGCAUUUUAAAAAACAUUUGUUAAAUGUCAUUGCUAGCAUAUAGCUGUAUUACAGCAUGGUAAGUAGCGAGAAGGCUAAGUUUUUGUUACCUUUGAAAAGAAAAAUGUGAAGACGUAAUAUUAGCAUAUGCUAAUGUUAUUCACUCAAGCAAACAUCUCAGCAAAGCUUGAAGAUGGCUCGUCGUGGACCCCGACUCGUCGACAGUCACCUGGCUGUCUUGACUACAUUGUUGAACGUCCCGAGAACGAGGCCUUGAUGACACUCUCCUGAGCGCCAUCUCUUCUGAUGAAGCAUGGGACACUGAAACCGAGCGCGUCAAUAAAGGCUGUCUUGACUACAUUGUUGAACGUCCCGAGAACGAGGCCUUUCUGAAGUCAUGAGGAUCCUUGAUGACACUCUCCUGAGCGCCAUCUCUUCUGAUGAAGCAUGGGACACUGAAACCGAGCGUGUCAGUAAAGGUGAGUACAUCGCCCUCUCCCCCUCCCCCUCUUCUCAUGAAGAACUGGAUGCUGAUGUGUGUCAGUGAAGUGGAAGGUGAGUACCCCCACCUCC